GAUGAACGCUAGCGGCAGGCCUAACACAUGCAAGUCGAGGGGCAGCACAGAAAGUGGUAACACUUUUGGUGGCGACCGGCGGACGGGUGCGUAACGCGUAUGCAACCUACCUUUUACAGGGGGAUAACGGAGAGAAAUUUCCACUAAUACCCCAUAAUAUCAUGAACGGCAUCGUUUGUGGUUGAAAACUCUGGUGGUAAAAGAUGGGCAUGCGUUGUAUUAGGUAGUUGGUGAGGUAAUGGCUCACCAAGCCUACGAUACAUAGGGGGACUGAGAGGUUAGCCCCCCACACUGGUACUGAGACACGGACCAGACUCCUACGGGAGGCAGCAGUGAGGAAUAUUGGUCAAUGGGGGCAACCCUGAACCAGCCAUGCCGCGUGCAGGAAGACGGCUCUAUGAGUUGUAAACUGCUUUUGUAAAUGGAUAAAUGCGGGUACAUGUACCCGUUUGAAGGUAAUUUACGAAUAAGGAUCGGCUAACUCCGUGCCAGCCGCCGCAGUAA
This 504-nucleotide ribosomal RNA is filed under the name uncultured bacterium. RNAcentral's name for it is "partial 16S ribosomal RNA". It matches the Rfam family "Bacterial small subunit ribosomal RNA", at positions 28 to 523 of the family's 1533-position model. The record is from RNAcentral.